GGAGGAGUUGUUGUGGUGAGGGCAGCAGGGCCCUGCCUCCAGGAGUUUGGACUCAGCAGGCUAUGUCUUCUGGGAUUUAGUGCAUGGGCUCUCUCUCAUCCAGUGAAGAGGACUACGGAAUAGGAUAGAGGAGAGUAUGGCUGCAGAGUCACUAAUCAAGACCUCUGGAGACCAAGCAGGAAGCAGGCCCUGCAAACUGCUGAGAUUACAGGAUUGCAUCAUCUUUCCAGCACAGAUAUUGGAUUUUAAGAGAGCAGAAUUGGAAAUAGAAAGAAAUAAAUAUUAAGCUGAUAUAAGUUU
This is a non-coding RNA of Ictidomys tridecemlineatus (thirteen-lined ground squirrel), 300 nucleotides long. NCBI's taxonomy places the organism in Eukaryota, Metazoa, Chordata, Mammalia, Rodentia, Sciuridae. The record is from RefSeq and is a predicted model, not a curated record.